Cyprinus carpio (common carp) is the source of this 8000-nucleotide long non-coding RNA. The record is from Ensembl. NCBI's taxonomy places the organism in Eukaryota, Metazoa, Chordata, Actinopteri, Cypriniformes, Cyprinidae.
AUGGCGCAAUUGAUUUGUCUGAGCUUUAGGGGAAGCACGGCGACGCCGCUGACAGAAGUCAGAUUCACUGCACCCAGGUGUCCUUUUUUUUCAAAUCAAAGCUCUGAGCCUUGCUCUUGUGAAGUGUUGAGAAAUCCGAAGAUGGAGGAUUUAAAAGGUUUGCCGCUGACUGUCUUUGGUUCUCUGCGUUACAGCGAACUGGCACCUUUUCUAACUGUGCCUCUUUCAUGUCUGCCUGCAGGUGAUGUGGCCCCCUACUUCAAAACGGAGCCGGGACCUCCAGAGAUCCACCUAGAAGGGAACCGUCUGGUCAUGACCUGCCUGGCGGAGGGCAGCUGGCCUCUGGAGUUCAAAUGGAUACUCAACAACACAGAUAUCACAGCCUUCUCCCCCGAGUACAAGUACACCAUCUCCUCUCUCCAACGCUCCAAUAUGGGCGUUUAUCAGUGUGUGGUGAGAAACAGGAUGGGCGCUCUGCUUCAGAGAAGAGCCGAGAUACAAGUGGCAUAUAUGGGAGACUUUCUCGACAAUGACCAAAGAAAGACAGUGACACAGGGCCGGGCCGCCAUCCUAAACUCCCCAGCAGUCAGUUGCUUCCCGCGGCCACAGGUGACAUGGUUCAGGGACGGUUACAAGAUCAUUCCAAGCAACAGAGUAGCCAUAACGUUGGAGAACCAGCUAGUGGUGCUCGCCACGGCCGCGGUGGACGCCGGGAGGUACUACGUACAGGCUGUUAAUGAGAAGAAUGGAGAAAACAAGACAAGCCCAUCCAUUUACCUGAAUGUGGCAGAUUCAGAGGCCCCCGCGGACCCUGUGGCUCCAGUGAUUGUAAUCCCACCCCGAAACACUACAGUGGUGGCCGGGGUCAGUGAGGCCACACUGGAGUGUGUUGCUAAUGCACGUCCGGUUGAGAAGCUCAGUUUGGUGUGGCGGAGAAACUCUGUGGAAGUGGCCAGUGGCGUGGGCUCCUUCGGCCGGCGCUUGACCAUCAUCAACCCAACGAGUGCCGAUGUGGGCAUGUACGUGUGCGAAGCCUCACUUUUGGACAGCAGCGUGAAACCGGCAGAGGCCAGAGCCUUCCUCUCCAUCACAGAGGCACCCUAUUUCACCGCUGAGCCCAGGAGAAAGAUGAUGGGAGAGGUGGAGAAAAGCGUGGAUAUCCAGUGCCAAGCUCGAGGGGUGCCCAUGCCGAAGCUGGAGUGGUAUAAGGAUGCCGUGCCCCUCAGUAAACUCAACAACCCUCGCUACAAGGUCAUUUCCAGCAUGGGGCUUCAGGUCAGGAAGCUACAGCCCAGCGAUGCCGGAAUCUUCCAGUGCUUCGCCAGGAACUCGGCCGGAGAGGCUCAGGUCCACACUUACCUGGACAUCACUAGUAUGGCUCCGGGCUUCACCGCGGCACCGGUCGACAUCACUGUCACAGAUGGAGCGGUGGCCAUGUUCACCUGUCAGGUAUCUGGGGCCCCUAAACCUGCCAUCACAUGGAAGAGAGGUAAAGCUAGUAUCCUUGCCAGCGGUUCGGUGCAAAUUCCACGUUUCACCCUGCUGGAGUCCGGCGGUCUGCAGAUUCAACCGGUGGUGCUGCAGUACACGGGGAUGUACACCUGCUACGCCGCUAACUCAGAAAGAGUAAUCAACGCCAGCGCCUCCCUCACCGUAUGGAGUCGCACGUCCAUAUCCAGGCCUCCCAUGGACAGACGUGUCAUUAAGGGGACCACAGCCAUUUUGGAGUGCGCCGCCACCCACGACCCGCGUGUGGCAGUGAGGUACGUGUGGAAAAAGGAUGAGGAGUUAGUGAGCCAGACCAGAGGGGGGCGUAUCACCCUGCAGGAGGGCUCCUUGCACAUCAGUCAAACCUGGUCCGGGGACAUCGGGGACUAUACCUGUGACGUCAUCUCUCAAGCCGGCAACGACUCCAAGGCGGCCCGUCUGGAGGUCAUAGAGCUGCCACAUUCGCCCCGAAACCUACAGGCCAGCCUGAACGCCAACGACAGCCGCAGCGUGGAUCUGUCCUGGAUGAGACCCUUCGAUGGAAACAGCCCCCUACUGCAUUAUGUGGUGGAGCUUUCAGAGAACAAUUCUCCCUGGAGAGUGUAUUUGCCUGAUGUGGACCCCACCGUGACUGGAGCCAUGGUGAAGGGCCUGACUCCGGCCCGCUCGUACCAGUUCAGAGUUUGCGCAGUCAAUCAGGUUGGCAAGGGACAGUACAGCACCGAAACCAACAGAUUGACGCUGCGAGAGGAACCGCCCAGCGCUCCGCCCAAGAACAUCGUAGCCAGCGGCAGAACCAACCAAUCCAUUAUGGUGCAGUGGCAGCCACCUCCGGAGCCUCAGCUCAAUGGAGUCUUGAGAGGCUACGUCCUCAGGUACCGGCUCGCCGGGCUCCCUGGAGAGUACCAGCAGAAGAACAUCACCAGCCCUGAGAUCAACUACUGCCUGAUCACAGAGCUCAUCAUCUGGACCCAGUAUGAGAUUCAGGUGGCCGCGUAUACCGGGGCAGGCCUGGGCGUCUUCAGUCAGCCUGUCACUGAGUACACGCUACAGGGAGUUCCCACAGCUCCCCCUCAGGGUGUGGAGGUCAAGGCAGUAAACUCAACCACAAUUGAAUUUACCUGGAAUCCACCGCCUCAGCAGUUCAUCAAUGGCAUUAAUCAAGGUUACAAGCUGAUGGCGUGGCCUGAACGAUCUCCAGAGGAUGUUAUCAUCGUGACCAUCACCCCUGAUUAUCACGGGACACGCCACCUCGGUUACAUCAGCGGUCUAAAAAAGUUCACCUGGUACUUGACGUCAGUGCUGUGUUUUACCACACCAGGGAAUGGACCCCGCAGUGUCCCCAAACUGGUGCAGACUCACGAGGACAUUCCAGGCCCUGUUGGUCGCUUGAGCUUUACAGAGAUUUUGGACACGUCUCUGAGAGUGAGCUGGGAGGAACCCGUGGACAAGAACGGCAUUGUUACUGGUUACCUGGUGUCCUGGGAAGUUCAGGGGAAGAACCAAUCGCGAGUGGCGCGUACUUUGACCAACUCCACGUUGGACUACAAGGUCACCGGUCUGACGUCCCUCACUACGUACACGCUAGAGGUGGCAGCUAUGACGGAGGCGGGCGUAGGAACUGUAACUUCCUCCACCAUUUCAUCCGGAGUGCCACCAGAACUUCCCGGGCCUCCAUCAAAUUUGGUUAUUUCCAAGAUCAGUUCACGAUCUGCUACGCUGAAGUUCCGUGCAGGGGAUGAUGGGAAGACGACCAUCUCCAAGUGGAUCGUUGAGGGGCAGGUUGGCAGUAUCGGUGAAGAGGAAGAGUGGAAGGUGUUGUACGUGAAAGAGAAUGACCCUGAAGCUCAGGUGCUGGAGGUGCCCAAUCUCACACCGUUCACACACUACAGGUUCCGAAUGCGUCAGGUGAAUAUUGUGGGCCCGAGUCCGGUGAGCGUGCCGUCCCGUGUAAUUCAAACCCUGCAGGCUCCUCCAGACAAGGCGCCCAGCAGUGUGACGGUGCGCACGGCCAGUGAGACCAGCCUCUGGCUACGCUGGGUGCCACUGCCGGAGACUGAGUACAAUGGAAACCCGGAGAGCGUGGGCUACAGGGUCAGAGUGUUGCGAGCGGACCUGCGGGGUGAGGCCAGCACACGAUUGGUGAACGACAGACUGGAGAGGGAGAUCACCCUGGAGGGUCUGGAGGAGUGGACCGAAUACCAGCUGCAGAUCCAGGCCUUUAAUUCCAUAGGCCCCGGGCCCUGGAGUGAGCCUUUGAAGGGACGUACGCGUGAGUCAGUGCCAUCGGGGGCUCCGGAAAAUGUGACGGUGGAGGCCAUGAGCUCCAGUCGCAUCCUGGUAACCUGGGGCUCGGUUCCUGAGCAUGAGCAGAAUGGCAACAUCCUCGGAUAUAAGGUUAUGUACAAAGAGAAAGACUCAGAUUCGGAGGCACAGGUGAAUGUGGUUAAAGGCAACCUGACACAGUCUGUCUUACUGAGGAACCUGCGUAAAUACGUCCAGUAUGAAAUCCAAGUUUUGGCUUUCACACGAAUUGGAGAUGGGCAGCUCAGCAGCCCCCCAGUCUUGGAGAGGACCAAGGAUGAUGUUCCCGGACCACCUAUGAGACUUGUGUUCCCGGAGGUGCGUCUCACAGAAGUGAGGGUGGUCUGGCAACCCCCUGUGGACCCCAAUGGCAUAAUUAUGGGAUACCAGGUAGCUUACCGUCUGGAUUCUGGGGAUCCCAACCAGUUCAUCACAGUAGAGGUGGGCCCUGAUACCCGUCAGUUCACCGCCUCCAACUUGACCCCGGAGUCGGCCUACAUCUUUCGCAUCUCUGCCAAGACGGAGCAGGGCUGGGGAGCACCUGCACAGGCUGUGGUCAUAACUACUGAGAUCAGAGAGCGACCGCAGCCUCCACGGCAGCUGCGGGUGCCUCAGGACCACGUGCAGUCCCGCAAAUUGCAGCUCAACUGGGUGCCCGGAGGGGACGGCUCCUCUCCUGUCCGUUACUUCACCCUGCAGACACGGGAGCUGCCCAGAGGAGACUGGCUCACCCAUUCUUCUGCUAUAAGCCACAAUUAUACCUCCUGGGAAGUGGACAGGCUGAAACCCUUCACUUCAUACAAGCUCAGAAUGAUGGCGACUAAUGACGUCGGCGACAGCAAGUACAGCCAAGAGACGGAUGCAAUUACCACUUUACAAGAUGUUCCUGAUGAAUCGCCCACAAUUCAAGCCGUCAAACCCUCCACGACAACAUCCGUGCUUGUGCAGUGGCAGACGCCCAAGGAGGAGAGUGUGAAUGGGGUUCUGGUGGGCUAUCGGCUCUACUACCGCGAGCUGCAGUAUGACAGCGCACCGCAGGAGUCAAAGCGGGCCGUCAACAGCUCCUUGCUGCGCACCGAACUGACAGCCAAAAGCACUGUGAAGACUGUCAGCAAUCCUUCAUUAACCGAAUUCGAGCUAACACAGCUGCAGAAAUACAGACGCUAUGAAAUUGUGAUGACUGCCUACAACGUCAUUGGCGAAAGCCCUCCAAGUGCUCCAGUAGAGGUGUUUGUUGGAGAAGCAGCUCCCUCUGUGGCUCCUCAGAACAUCCAGAUCAACACUUUGUCAUCCACACAGCUGGAGGUGCAGUGGGAGCCGCCCCCUGCCGAGACCCAAAAUGGCAUUAUUCAGGGAUAUAAGAUUCUUUACUGGGAGAUGGACAAUCAGAAUGAAACAGAGAGAGUUAAGAUUCUCUUCCGGCCUGAAACCAACAUGAGACUGAAGAACCUGACCAGCUACACAUACUAUAUGGUCAAGCUGUCCGCCUUCAAUGCUGCUGGAGACGGUCCCUUCAGUGAGCCCAGGAGGGGGCGCACUCUUCAGGCAGCCCCCAGCGCUCCCAGCUUCAUCAGUUUCUCCGAGGUGACCAGCAGCACUCUGAACGUGUCCUGGGGUUUCCCGCUGUCCCCCAACGGUGUGGUGGAAGGCUACAGGGUGGUAUAUGAGCCCAGCGCCCCUAUUCAAGGUGUGACUAAAGUGGUAACGGUGGAUAUCCGUGGCAGCUGGCAGCGCUGGCUGAAGGUGCGUGACCUGACCAAGGGUGUAACCUAUUGCUUCCGCGUGCAGGCCAAGACUAUUGCCUACGGGCCUGAGGCAGAGGCCAACAUUACAGCGGGUCCUGUCAAAGGGUCUCCUGGAUCUCCUGUAGAAAUGUCAAUCUCAAAGACAGGAUCCAUGCUCAACAUCCACUGGACACCAGGAGAUACAGGAGCAGGACAUGUGACCGGCUAUGUGAUCGAGGCACGCCCAUCAGAUGAAGGGAUGUGGGAUACGUUUGUGCGGCACUUGCCUCCCACCAGCACCUCUCACUCAGUGAGUCUAGACCGCCUGCGGCAGGGUAUCAGCUACCAGUUCAGAGUGCUGGCCGUCAACGAGUUCGGCUACGGCGAGCCGAGUGCACCCUCUGCUGCCAUGUCAGGCCAACAUGACACCCCGUUUUAUGAGGAGUGGUGGUUUCUCAUCGUGCUGGCGUUGUGUGGCCUGAUUCUGCUGUUGCUGGUGGUUUUCGGUCUCGUCUUGCACGGACAGAACAGGAAGUACAAGAGCUGUGGAACAGGUAAAGCUGUGUCCACGGUGGAGGAGACAGUCACGCUGGACAAUGGAGGCUUCACGGCUCUAGAGCUCAACAGCAGGCCCGUUCAUGUCAAGAGUGUGUUCUUGAGGAAGAACGGCACCAGCAGGUCCCCUCCCCGUCCCAAUCCAGCCGGACUGCGCUAUUCCGACGAAGACAUCUGUAGCAACUACAACGGCGUGGUUUCCACAGAGAGCACUGCACUGACUGAGAGGCCUGCAGAGAUAUCAGAGUCUGAGGCCACAGACAGCGAGUGCGAAGAGGAGCCGAUCAAACACUCGUUCGUGAAUCACUACAUGAGCGACCCAUCAUACUUCAACUCGUGGAAGCGGCAGCAGAAGGGGCUGAAGCAGACGCUGGCCUGUUCCUAUGAUGAAUGUGCCAGCGGGGACACCGAAUCCUACUAUCAGACAGUGGUCACACAGCACAGCGUUGGCGGGGUCUACACCCCCGCCGGCCAGCCCGCACCAGGCUCACGGACUCCCGUCACAGGCUUCUCCUCGUUCGUGUGACACACAAGAGGACCCAGCUCGGACAACGUAGUUGCAGAAGAAAUUCUCUGGUUUCGCACAGUACUAUCACCACGAGCACUACAAGAGACAUCACAUGUGACCGCUCAUCGAGUUGCUGGAUCCUGAAUGUACUCGAUCAAGAUCAUUAUUAAGAGAAGGGGAGAAAAAAAAGAUUUUUAUAUGCCAAUACCGAAGACUAAUCAGAGUUAUUGUUAAUGUACGUGUCCCUCCUGUUUGCAGCCUCGGUUGUGAAAGAUGCAUAAAUGUCUGUGGUUUUAAUGAGCAGGACGCAACAGAAGAUUCCUGUACAUGUGACGAGACAUUCCCGCUCUAAAGAGCGCCAUAUAUUCACACUUAACAUUCCUGCCCUUACCACACUGAAAAGAACUUAAGGAAAAAGCUAAGUGAAAAACACGCUGUAAUUACUGUAUAGUCUUGUCUGAAUAAUCUCAUCUCACUGUCGGUGUCGCUAUAUAUACAUGUUGCACUCGAGAUCGUAAAGGUCAUGAAAUGUAAAUCUUCUCUAAUGGAUUUGAUUUGUGUUCACGUGGCCUGGAUAAUGAAGCACGGUUGUUUUCAGUAUAUUCUCUAUAGACUCACCAGCAAGAAAACCUGCGGAGGCUGUUAGAAGAAGCCAGACAGCUCUGGUUCCCUGCCUCUGUGUAAUCAGACGGUGAGACCGUGCCAGAUGUGUUGUGAUUUGUGCCACUGCUCAUUCUCACACAUAUCAACAAGUUCAUAGGUUUUUUUUUUUUUGGCUUUUACUCUUCUUGUUUUGUUCCUGUCUGUUUGGCCUCGCUUAGGAACUGCAAACACUCACUUGAAAUUAUUUAAUGAACGAUUGUAUGAAUUGUAUGUAAGGAGAUCAGUAUGUGGUUGCUUUGCACAUAUGUUCUGCACUUUUGAGCCAUAAAUAUUUCUGUUUCCUUCUUUUGAUUGAAUAUUUGCUUUUUUACAGGCUUGUAAAAAGUGUAAUUUGACAGUGCGAUUUUAGAAUUAAUUUGUAUGAAUUUUGUUGUUCAUUGUAGUGUUCUUCAGAAGUGACGUACAGUAGUUCCGUUGUUCUUUCACAAGAAGUAUGAAUUUUUGCAGUUCUUGAAAAUGCCAACACAAGAAGUACAGUAAUCAAACAAGAGUGUGCUGUUAUGGAAAUGUUUGUUUCAAUCCCAACAACUGUUUUAGCACAAGUGUAUGUCAUGGACGUUCAUGAAGUAAAGAUUUUUUUAUGAUAAAUUAAAUGUUUGUUGUUCACUUAAAUGCCUCCAACUACAAUGUCAUCUUGAUAAUACGUCAACAUGCACACUAAAUCAUGACAGAAAACAAAAAUUUUGGGAAAGCAUUUAAUCAAAUCAUCACUUUUAUCACAGAAUAAACUGGCUGUAUUUGUAUUUCUGCCUGCUGGC